CACACACACACAAACACACACACAGGUACACAUACACACUGACACACAAGUACACAUACACAGGUAUACAUACACACAGAAACACUGACACACAGACAAACACAGCCAGAUACAAACACUGACACAAACACAGCCAGAUACACACACUGACACAAACACAGCCAGAUACACACAAGGAUAUAAACACAGCCAGAUACACACACACAUAUAUGUUUACAUUUACAUAUUUUAAUCUCUGCCUUCUAGCAGCUCUUGGACAGCAACUCCCAGCAACCUUGGCCAUAAUAAUGUCUCAACUCUGUUCUUAC
This is a non-coding RNA of Pelobates cultripes (western spadefoot toad), 308 nucleotides long. Lineage: Eukaryota; Metazoa; Chordata; Amphibia; Anura; Pelobatidae. The record is from the annotation of a GenBank genome assembly.